GCCUACACAUGCAAGUCGAGCGGUAACAGAAAGUAGCUUGCUACUUUGCUGACGAGCGGCGGACGGGUGAGUAAUGCUUGGGAACAUGCCUUGAGGUGGGGGACAACAGUUGGAAACGACUGCUAAUACCGCAUAAUGUCUACGGACCAAAGGGGGCUUCGGCUCUCGCCUUUAGAUUGGCCCAAGCGGGAUUAGCUAGUUGGUGAGGUAAUGGCUCACCAAGGCAACGAUCCCUAGCUGGUUUGAGAGGAUGAUCAGCCACACUGGAACUGAGACACGGUCCAGACUCCUACGGGAGGCAGCAGUGGGGAAUAUUGCACAAUGGGCGAAAGCCUGAUGCAGCCAUGCCGCGUGUGUGAAGAAGGCCUUCGGGUUGUAAAGCACUUUCAGUCAGGAGGAAAGGGUGUGAGUUAAUACCUCAUAUCUGUGACGUUACUGACAGAAGAAGCACCGGCUAACUCCGUGCCAGCAGCCGCGGUAAUACGGAGGGUGCGAGCGUUAAUCGGAAUUACUGGGCGUAAAGCGUACGCAGGCGGUUUGUUAAGCGAGAUGUGAAAGCCCCGGGCUCAACCUGGGAACUGCAUUUCGAACUGGCAAACUAGAGUGUGAUAGAGGGUGGUAGAAUUUCAGGUGUAGCGGUGAAAUGCGUAGAGAUCUGAAGGAAUACCGAUGGCGAAGGCAGCCACCUGGGUCAACACUGACGCUCAUGUACGAAAGCGUGGGGAGCAAACGGGAUUAGAUACCCCGGUAGUCCACGCCGUAAACGAUGUCUACUAGAAGCUCGGAACCUCGGUUCUGUUUUUCUAAGCUAACGCAUUAAGUAGACCGCCUGGGGAGUACGGCCGCAAGGUUAAAACUCAAAUGAAUUGACGGGGGCCCGCACAAGCGGUGAGCAUGUGUUUAAUUCGAUGCAACGCGAAGAACCUUACCUACACUGACAUACAGAGACUUUCUAGAGAUAGAUGUGCUUCGGGACUCUGAUACAGGUGCUGCAUGCUGUCGUCAGCUCGAUGUGUGAGAUGUGGGUAAGUCCCGCACGAGCGCAACCCCUAUCCUUAGUUGCUAGCAGGUAUGCUGAGAAUCUA
Molecule: ribosomal RNA, 1085 nt
Filed under: uncultured Pseudoalteromonas sp.
Lineage: Bacteria; Pseudomonadati; Pseudomonadota; Gammaproteobacteria; Alteromonadales; Pseudoalteromonadaceae
Description: bacterial SSU rRNA
Rfam family: Bacterial small subunit ribosomal RNA
Source: RNAcentral